AGCGAACGCUGGCGGCAGGCUUAACACAUGCAAGUCGAGCGGGCACUUUCGGGUGUCAGCGGCGGACGGGUGAGUAACGCGGGGGAACGUGCCCUCUGGUUCGGAAUAACUCAGGGAAACUUGAGCUAAUACCGGAUACGCCCUUUUGGGGAAAGGCUUGCUGCCGGAGGAUCGGCCCGCGUCUGAUUAGCUAGUUGGUGAGGUAACGGCUCACCAAGGCGACGAUCAGUAGCUGGUCUGAGAGGAUGAUCAGCCACACUGGGACUGAGACACGGCCCAGACUCCUACGGGAGGCAGCAGUGGGGAAUAUUGGACAAUGGGCGCAAGCCUGAUCCAGCCAUGCCGCGUGAGUGAUGAAGGCCUUAGGGUUGUAAAGCUCUUUUAUCCGGGACGAUAAUGACGGUACCGGAGGAAUAAGCCCCGGCUAACUUCGUG
This 435-nucleotide ribosomal RNA is filed under the name uncultured bacterium. Its description in RNAcentral is "partial 16S ribosomal RNA". It matches the Rfam family "Bacterial small subunit ribosomal RNA", at positions 29 to 507 of the family's 1533-position model. The record is from RNAcentral.